Molecule: ribosomal RNA, 253 nt
Filed under: uncultured bacterium
Lineage: Bacteria
Description: partial 16S ribosomal RNA
Rfam family: Bacterial small subunit ribosomal RNA
Source: RNAcentral
UACGGAGGGUGCAAGCGUUGUCCGGAUUUAUUGGGUUUAAAGGGUGCGUAGGCGGCUUCAUAAGUCCGUGGUGAAAGCCAACAGCUCAACUGUUGAACUGCCAUGGAAACUGUGAGGCUUGAGUACAGACGAGGUAGGCGGAAUGGAUCGUGUAGCGGUGAAAUGCAUAGAUACGAUCCAGAACACCGAUUGCGUAGGCAGCUUACUAGGCUGUAACUGACGCUGAGGCACGAAAGCGUGGGGAGCGAACAGG